CCGGGGAGAAAGACGGUUGCUGAGAUAACCUGUGUCUUGCUAUUAGCUUGUAUUUAUACUUUUAUCUUUUCUUAUCUUUUAUAUCCUUUAUUUAUUUUUCUUUACUCUUAUCUUAUGGAAAACCAAAAUUCUAAAUCGAUCCAUGAGUCUGCAAUCCCUUUAGCAACCGACCUUUUACCAUGGGAAUCAUCACAGCCUAUCCAAACAUCCC
RNAcentral lists this long non-coding RNA (211 nucleotides) under Sorghum bicolor (sorghum). RNAcentral describes it as "long non-coding RNA (SBIC_LNC008306)". The record is from RNAcentral. Lineage: Eukaryota; Viridiplantae; Streptophyta; Magnoliopsida; Poales; Poaceae.